GAUGAACGCUAGCGGCAGGCUUAACACAUGCAAGUCGAGGGGCAGCACGUCUUCGGAUGGUGGCGGCCGGCGCACGGGUGCGUAACGCGUAUACAAUCUACCUUUUACAGGGGCAUAGCCCGGGGAAACCCGGAUUAAUAUCCCAUGGUAUCAUUUAGUGGCAUCACUUGAAUGAUUAAAGUUUCGGCGGUAAAAGAUGAGUAUGCGUCCUAUUAGCUAGAUGGUAAGGUAACGGCUUACCAUGGCAACGAUAGGUAGGGGUCCUGAGAGGGAGAUCCCCCACACUGGUACUGAGACACGGACCAGACUCCUACGGGAGGCAGCAGUGAGGAAUAUUGGACAAUGGGCGAGAGCCUGAUCCAGCCAUGCCGCGUGCAGGAAGACUGCCCUAUGGGUUGUAAACUGCUUUUAUACGGGAAGAAACACCCUCACGUGUGAGGGCUUGACGGUACCGUAUGAAUAAGGAUCGGCUAACUCCAUGCCAGCAGCCGNGGU
This 495-nucleotide ribosomal RNA is filed under the name uncultured bacterium. RNAcentral describes it as "bacterial SSU rRNA". It matches the Rfam family "Bacterial small subunit ribosomal RNA", at positions 28 to 521 of the family's 1533-position model. The record is from RNAcentral.